GACAGAGGGGGCAAGCGUUGCUCGGAAUUACUGGGCGUAAAGGGCGCGUAGGCGGGAUGGCAAGUCGGUCGUGAAAUCCCUCGGCUCAACCGAGGAACGUCGAUCGAUACUGCUGUUCUUGAGGAUUGCAGAGGAGACUGGAAUUCCCGGUGUAGCGGUGAAAUGUGUAGAGAUCGGGAGGAACACCAGUGGCGAAGGCGGCUACCUGGACCAGCAUUGACACUCAAGCACGAAAGCGUGGGGAGCAAACAGG
Molecule: ribosomal RNA, 253 nt
Filed under: uncultured bacterium
Lineage: Bacteria
Description: partial 16S ribosomal RNA
Rfam family: Bacterial small subunit ribosomal RNA
Source: RNAcentral